RNAcentral lists this small nuclear RNA (246 nucleotides) under Cricetulus griseus (Chinese hamster). RNAcentral describes it as "7SK RNA". It matches the Rfam family "7SK RNA", at positions 23 to 302 of the family's 331-position model. Rfam says of the family: 7SK was discovered as an abundant small nuclear RNA in the mid-70s but a possible function has only recently been suggested. Two independent studies have found that 7SK RNA binds the CDK9/cyclin T complex (known as elongation factor P-TEFb). P-TEFb activates transcription by phosphorylating the C-terminal domain of RNA polymerase II. The record is from Rfam by way of RNAcentral. Lineage: Eukaryota; Metazoa; Chordata; Mammalia; Rodentia; Cricetidae.
AGAUAUAUUCUCAAUCCCACUUUGUGUCCCCUUCCUCCCUUAUCACUCCACUGCUUUUCUAGAUAGAAGAGGACAACCUUCCCAGAUAGAGGAGGACCAGUUUUCAGUCAAGGGUAUACAAGUAGCUGUGCUCCCCUGAUAGUACCUCCAAACAAAAUUCACUUUAAACUUCUUUUUCACAUAGUACAAUUUAGAAUACUUAAAUGGGCACUCUAACAAUAUAUGAACCAUCCAAAACCCGCUGUU